This 429-nucleotide ribosomal RNA is filed under the name Chloroflexota bacterium. Its description in RNAcentral is "Chloroflexi bacterium partial 16S ribosomal RNA". It matches the Rfam family "Bacterial small subunit ribosomal RNA", at positions 355 to 776 of the family's 1533-position model. Lineage: Bacteria; Bacillati; Chloroflexota. The record is from RNAcentral.
UGGGGAAUAUUGCACAAUGGGCGCAAGCCUGAUGCAGCCAUGCCGCGUGUGUGAAGAAGGCCUUCGGGUUGUAAAGCACUUUCAGCGGGGAGGAAGGCGUUAAGGUUAAUAACCUUGGCGAUUGACGUUACCCGCAGAAGAAACACCGGCUAACUCCGUGCCAGCAGCCGCGGUAAUACGGAGGGUGCAAGCGUUAAUCGGAAUUACUGGGCGUAAAGCGCACGCAGGCGGUCUGUCAAGUCGGAUGUGAAAUCCCCGGGCUCAACCUGGGAACUGCAUUCGAAACUGGCAGGCUAGAGUCUUGUAGAGGGGGGUAGAAUUCCAGGUGUAGCGGUGAAAUGCGUAGAGAUCUGGAGGAAUACCGGUGGCGAAGGCGGCCCCCUGGACAAAGACUGACGCUCAGGUGCGAAAGCGUGGGGAGCAAACAGG